GGUGGCUCAGUGGUAGAGCGCUUGCCUUGCACGCAUUAGGCCCUAGGUUCGAUUCCUCAGCACCA
This 65-nucleotide transfer RNA is filed under the name Dipodomys ordii (Ord's kangaroo rat). It matches the Rfam family "tRNA". Rfam says of the family: Transfer RNA (tRNA) molecules are approximately 80 nucleotides in length. Their secondary structure includes four short double-helical elements and three loops (D, anti-codon, and T loops). Further hydrogen bonds mediate the characteristic L-shaped molecular structure. tRNAs have two regions of fundamental functional importance: the anti-codon, which is responsible for specific mRNA codon recognition, and the 3' end, to which the tRNAs corresponding amino acid is attached (by aminoacyl-tRNA synthetases). tRNAs cope with the degeneracy of the genetic code in two manners: having more than one tRNA (with a specific anti-codon) for a particular amino acid; and 'wobble' base-pairing, i.e. permitting non-standard base-pairing at the 3rd anti-codon position. Lineage: Eukaryota; Metazoa; Chordata; Mammalia; Rodentia; Heteromyidae. The record is from Rfam by way of RNAcentral.